GCUGAAAAUGAAGAGCUUGAAAGAUAUUCCAUGCAGUGGAAACCAAUAGGGAGAUAUGGUGGCUAAACUUAUGUCAAACAAAAUGGACUUUAUGUUUAUCUGGUAGAGAUAUUUGUGAAACCAUGUUUUCUGCAGCAUUAUUCACAAGAGUUAAGAUAUGGAAAUAACAUAAGCAGCCCUAAGAGAUGAAUAUUGUGAUGUGUGUGUGCACACACACAUGCACACAUACAUUAGGCAUUCUUUAAAAAGGAAGAUUUUGUUGUUUUAAAUGACACAGAUGAAACUGGAGGAUAUUAUGCUAAAAGAAGUGAAACAAGUCAAACAUAGAAAGAAAAAUACUGUGUGAUCUCAUAUGUAAAAUCUGGAGGAAAAAAUGUGUACAUUGAAACAAAGAGUAAAAUGAAUGUUCGUAGAAUGGUAAGAGGUAGCUCAAAGGAUACAAAGCUGGAUUUACAUAAAAUGAAUAAGUCUAGAGAUCUAAUGUACAUCAUGGGUAAUAUAGUUAAUAAUAUUGGAUUUAUGUUGAGAACUUGCUAAGAAAGUAUAUUUUAGGUGCUCUUACCACACAUACCCACACACAAAGGUAACUUAUGAGAUGAUGGCUGUUAAUUAGCUUGACUAUAGAAACCAUUUCACUAGGUAUACAAAAACCUCAUGCUAUAAUUGUAAAUAUACAUGAAACUGAAAAUGAAAUAGAAUGUCAAAAUAAAAAAAUAUAUAUUUUUUAAAAAGUCUUGUUUAAAAUCAAUUCAAAAAAUGAGAAGAAAAAUAAAGACUAGAUACAAUGAAUAAUAAACUGUUGAAGAUAUAAUGGGUAUAAUCCAAAUAUAUAACUUCAUUUUAAAAAUCACUUUUAAAGUGAUUUAAAUAAAUUCACUAACUAAAAGACAGACUAUGAGAAUGGAUCGAAUAAAAUAAAAAUAAAAUAAACAAGAUUGCUAGCUGGAUAUGAUGACAUACACCUUCAGUCCAAACUACUCAAGAGAUGGAGGCAGGAAGAUCACUUGAGUCCAGGAGUUGGAGGUCAGCCUGAGCAACAUAGUAAGACCCCAUUUCAAAAAAGUUUUAAAAUUUUUUUUAAAUGUCACCUACAAGAUACAUUAAAUAUAAUGAUACAAAUAAACUAAAAAUAAAGGGAUGUAUAAAAUGUAUUAUUCUAACACUAAUCUAACAGAAAACAGAUGUAGUUUUAUUAGUUUCAGACAAAUCAGCCUUCAAAAUAAGAAAAAUUAUCAGGGAUAAAAAGGGAAUUCCAUAAUAACAAAGGGAAGGGUCAAUUCUCCCAGAAGACACAAUAAUCUUUAAGAUGUAUAUAUUUUAAAAGAGUAUCAAAAUAUAUAAGGCAAAAACUGCAAUGAGAAACAGCUGAAUUCACUAGUAAUGUUGAAGACUUCAACACCUCCCUUUCAUUAAUUGACAGAUUUAGCAGGUAGGAAAAUCAUCAAUAAUAUCUUUGACUUGAGCAACACCAUCAUUUAACUUGAUCCAAC
This 1490-nucleotide long non-coding RNA is filed under the name Marmota monax (woodchuck). Lineage: Eukaryota; Metazoa; Chordata; Mammalia; Rodentia; Sciuridae. The record is from RNAcentral.